UGGGGAAUAUUGGACAAUGGGGGAAACCCUGAUCCAGCAAUGCCGCGUGAGUGAUGAAGGCCUUAGGGUUGUAAAGCUCUUUCGGUGGUGACGAUGAUGACGGUAACCACAGAAGAAGCCCCGGCUAACUUCGUGCCAGCAGCCGCGGUAAGACGAAGGGGGCUAGCGUUGUUCGGAAUUACUGGGCGUAAAGCGCACGUAGGCGGCUUUGCAAGUCAGAGGUGAAAGCCCGGGGCUCAACCCCGGAAUAGCCUUUGAGACUGCAUCGCUUGAACAUCGGAGAGGUAAGUGGAAUUCCGAGUGUAGAGGUGAAAUUCGUAGAUAUUCGGAAGAACACCAGUGGCGAAGGCGACUUACUGGACGAUUGUUGACGCUGAGGUGCGAAAGCGUGGGGAGCAAAC
Molecule: ribosomal RNA, 401 nt
Filed under: uncultured bacterium
Lineage: Bacteria
Description: bacterial SSU rRNA
Rfam family: Bacterial small subunit ribosomal RNA
Source: RNAcentral